GGGGAUAGCCCGGCGAAAGCCGGAUUAAUACCGCAUACGACCUACGGGUGAAAGCGGGGGAUCGCAAGACCUCGCGUUAUUGGAGCGGCCGAUAUCAGAUUAGGUAGUUGGUGGGGUAAAGGCCUACCAAGCCUGCGAUCUGUAGUUGGUCUGAGAGGACGACCAGCCACACUGGGACUGAGACACGGCCCAG
RNAcentral lists this ribosomal RNA (193 nucleotides) under uncultured Burkholderiales bacterium. RNAcentral's name for it is "partial 16S ribosomal RNA". It matches the Rfam family "Bacterial small subunit ribosomal RNA", at positions 139 to 334 of the family's 1533-position model. Lineage: Bacteria; Pseudomonadati; Pseudomonadota; Betaproteobacteria; Burkholderiales. The record is from RNAcentral.